This 1923-nucleotide long non-coding RNA is filed under the name Gallus gallus (chicken). RNAcentral describes it as "long non-coding RNA NONGGAT011803". The record is from RNAcentral. Lineage: Eukaryota; Metazoa; Chordata; Aves; Galliformes; Phasianidae.
UUGGAGACCAUUGCUGGGAGCAUAGGGGCCUCUCAGGAAGUCGAUUUUCUUUUGUUUGAUUCAAGAAAAACAUUCUGAGCUGCUAAAAAUACAAUCUCCUCCUAAAAUGAAGCACAAAUUGCCAUGAAAUUGGGGAAAAAGAAGGGGGAAAAAAAAAAAAAAAGUAGCAGCAACAGAAGCAUACGCUUCCAGACUUCGGAACAAUGACUGCUGAAUUCUCUUCUCUUUAUUCUCCUGAUUGUUUUAUGAAGAAAUCGAACGUAGAAAGAAAAAAAAAAUGAAAUUAAGGCUCUUUUAUGGCCAGUGAAUGGAGGCAGUGAUUGUUCGUGCUAUGAACAACUCCACGCUGUGUAGCGUAGAUGCUGUGAGCUGUACAGCAGCCAGCCAGUCGCGGGAGAGCAGACCUUUUUCCAUGCCAGAGGGGAUCUGUUUCCUCACUGCUGGCAGCACAGGGAAGUGAAAUGAGUGAAAGAGGAUCUGGCACACGGACAGUUCAGCUGUAAAGCCUGAGUCAUAGGCUUGCAAUCAGAGAACAAACCAAGCAGAUAAGGAGCACAGUGAGUGCCCGCACAGCAGGCAGGGUCCGCUUGUACUUCAGCUGUGUGCAGAAGAGGUGCUGCUGUCCUCAUGCAUAGCAAGGCAGUAAGGAAGGUGGGUACCUUUGGCUACGUGUUCUGUUCCACAAGUGCAAAAAACUGCUCCAGCCCCACCAGCUUUCAACUGGGGACUCCAAACUUUUCACAGAAAGAAUACCGUCCAUAAAAAGGUGCCGCCUGCUGCUCCUGCAAAGACCCAUUCGUGCCCAUCUGAGCAGCACGCCAUAGAAAAUUCACCAUUUGCACAUGUGCACGACAGUUGUUCAUUAUUUCUGAAAGUUCGUACUUCUGCUGUGCUGGUUCGCGUAUACUGCCAGCCCCACUGAGCCCCCCACAUAGUUUCCUAGCAACUAGAUAGAAAUAUAACUCUGAGCUUGGCACCAGCAGAGCAGAUUCUGCCGCUGCUUUCCCCCAGGCACACACUGCGGUCUGGGAUAGAAUGCACUGGGCAAAGAGAUCAGGGCAGCGCAGGCCAGGAGUCUCCCAGGGGCUGGCAUUAGUCAUUCCUCACACUUCCACACGAAGCCUGGGGUUCCCGCUCCCCGAGGUGGGGACACGUGCUGCUCAGUCCUGCCUUACCCGUGCAUGUUAAGCAAGGGGGAAGUCAUGGAGAUGCCACAAAACCUGAUCUAAAGUCCUUGUCCCACGACAAUCUGUAACAAAGCUGUUACUGACUGCAGCAGGCAAGAGUUUUUGCCUUGGAUAAUACAGCAACACAGGUUUCAGCUGCUAGAUUAUAGUGAGAGGAAAUGUGGCAUGCACAGUUUUAGUCAAUAGCGAGUCUACUUUUCCUUGUCUAGAGAACAGCUGGAGAGUCCCGAUGCACACCGCCCUUUUCUGCCUCGCUCACAGUCUGCCCUUACGCACUUCUAUUUGUUUAAUCCUCUGUUGAAGUAUUUCAGGAGCACAAUCACUGCUCUGCCGCACCACCACAUCAUCACCAGAACAAAUUAAGAAGAAGAAGGUUAGGAGAUUAUAAACCGGAGAUUUAAAAAAGUAGAAAGUCUCUUCAAGGCUGCCUUCGGCUCUUCAACUGUCUUUAGUAAUACAGUACAGGAAAGUAUUACUUCUUCCCCCAGAUCCUUGCCUCACUCAGUACACAAGAUUGCUGAGGAACUGUAACAUCAUUGUUUUUAAUAGGAAAAAAAAAAAAAAAGUAGCUGAGACUUAAUGGUAGCAUUUAAAUGGCAUACAGAGCCUUUUGAGUUCACACCUCAUUAAGGUGCACAGGAAGGGAAGGGGUGCACAUCUUUGUUGUUACUUUUGCCUCGCAGCAUUUUCAGCCAUGCUAUGUGAACAGAGCAGCAGCACAUUAACUGACUUUGUA